RNAcentral lists this unclassified non-coding RNA (364 nucleotides) under uncultured Tulostoma. RNAcentral describes it as "sequence contains ITS1". The stretch from base 1 to 105 matches the Rfam family "5.8S ribosomal RNA", at positions 50 to 154 of the family's 154-position model. Lineage: Eukaryota; Fungi; Basidiomycota; Agaricomycetes; Agaricales; Agaricaceae. The record is from RNAcentral.
GAAAUGCGAUAAGUAAUGUGAAUUGCAGAAUUCAGUGAAUCAUCGAAUCUUUGAACGCAACUUGCGCUCCUUGGUAUUCCGAGGAGCAUGCCUGUUUGAGUGUCAUUUAAUUCUCAACCCCUCCAGUUGUCUUGACUGGUUAGGUGGCUUGGAUGUGGGGGGAUUAACUGCGGGCCUCCUCAGAGGUCGGCUCCCCUGAAAUGCAUUAGCGGAACCGUUUGCGGAACCCGUCACUGGUGUGAUAACUAUCUACGCCAAAGGACAUCUGCUCUCUGGUAGUUCUGCUUCUAAUUGUCCUUCAUAAUGGACAAAUGUAUAUCUAUUACUUGACCUCAAAUCAGGUAGGACUACCCGCUGAACUUAA